RNAcentral lists this signal recognition particle RNA (97 nucleotides) under Escherichia coli. RNAcentral describes it as "signal recognition particle sRNA small type". It matches the Rfam family "Bacterial small signal recognition particle RNA". From Rfam's summary of the family: The signal recognition particle (SRP) is a universally conserved ribonucleoprotein involved in the co-translational targeting of proteins to membranes. RNAcentral also lists the same sequence under 1 other name. The record is from RNAcentral. Lineage: Bacteria; Pseudomonadati; Pseudomonadota; Gammaproteobacteria; Enterobacterales; Enterobacteriaceae.
UGUUGGUUCUCCCGCAACGCUACUCUGUUUACCAGGUCAGGUCCGGAAGGAAGCAGCCAAGGCAGAUGACGCGUGUGCCGGGAUGUAGCUGGCGGGG